This 65-nucleotide transfer RNA is filed under the name Panesthia sloanei. RNAcentral's name for it is "tRNA-Arg". Lineage: Eukaryota; Metazoa; Arthropoda; Insecta; Blattodea; Blaberidae. The record is from RNAcentral.
GAAUAUGAAGCAAUCUGUGCAAUUAGUUUCGACCUAAUUUAUUGGUAUUGAAUUACCCUUAUUUU